Molecule: ribosomal RNA, 208 nt
Filed under: uncultured Syntrophaceae bacterium
Lineage: Bacteria; Pseudomonadati; Thermodesulfobacteriota; Syntrophia; Syntrophales; Syntrophaceae
Description: partial 16S ribosomal RNA
Rfam family: Bacterial small subunit ribosomal RNA
Source: RNAcentral
CGUGUAGGCGGCUUAACAAGUCAGAUGUGAAAUCCCUGGGCUUAACCCAGGAAGUGCAUUUGAAACUGUUUGGCUGGAGUAAGGGAGAGGAAAGUGGAAUUCCUGGUGUAGAGGUGAAAUUCGUAGAUAUCAGGAGGAACACCGGUGGCGAAGGCGACUUUCUGGCCCUAUACUGACGCUGAGACGCGAAAGCGUGGGUAGCAAACAG